AAAUGUUUCCUUAACCACCCUGAAGAUUCGAUGCUGGUUUCUGUGGUGGGGAUGGCACUGUACACCGGCUACGUCUUCAUGCCCCAGCACAUCAUGGCAAUACUGCAUUACUUUGAAAUUGUACAGUGACGGAGAUGUGACCAGGAUCCAGAGGCUCCUGGGGAAGAUCCACCUUGUGAAGUUGGGACGAGACCUCGUCACAUGUGAGAUGCUCUACGGAUGUCAACAUAACCAACCUUAUAAAUACAGAGACUAAACUUCAUGAGUAGAACAGGAGAAAUCAUCCUGACUCAUGUGUUGUGUUCCUUCCUUUUGAUUUUAAAAGAGGCUCUUACAUAGUAGCUUUUAUCUAUUUUAACAUUGUAGUCAUUUGUACUUUGAUAUCAGUAUUUUCUUAACCUUUGUGACUGUUUCAAUAUUACCCAGUGAAAGCUUUUCUUAAUGUAACUUUGAGUACAUCUUAACUGCCUUCUAUUUUUAAAACCUAAGGUCGUUAGUUGGGCUUUACUGUUCUUGCUAUCGUAUGGCAUACACAUCUGCCUGGAUAUAUUUCUACUCGACCAAAGUUUUGUAAGAAACAAUACAGAAUUUGGGGAUGGGAGGGAGGAUAUUUUGAGAAGUACUUACAAAAGAUUUAUCUGUAAGCUUGACCUCAGGGGUACGGUUUUAGCUCCCUAGACUCUUUAACAGCUUUUGCUCUAAAACUAUUAAAGUGUUUCUUAGUGAUGAAAAAGUAAAGAUCUUGCUAACAUUAAUACAAGGAGCAUUUCACCUUUUAGAUAUUAAAUUCUUAUGUGGACUUAUUUCCAACUAACUUUUUCGAUUCCUGUGAGGGCGGGUGACUGGUGGCCUUGUGCGAUGCUGAGAUGUACCAUGGAGCUUUUCAUAGAAGGCAGAUCGGUUUCCUCUGAGGAGAUACUGACAGUGGAUACGCUUAAGAGUUAACUUGAUGAUUGUCACAGGUGCUGUGAAAUGCAUUUGCACAUUGUGAUAAGAUAUCAUGAGAUGAAUUGUUCAGAACCAUAGCCAAAAGAAAUGUAAACUUGCUUAAAAAUCCUUUCACUCUUUGUAUUUUUUUAAAAUGGUUUUUAUUCCUUAGAUGUAAAAUGACUACUUAAUUUUUUUUGAUGUAAACUCAUUAAAUUCAAAGAAAAAAUGUA
Molecule: long non-coding RNA, 1160 nt
Filed under: Rattus norvegicus (Norway rat)
Lineage: Eukaryota; Metazoa; Chordata; Mammalia; Rodentia; Muridae
Description: long non-coding RNA NONRATT025005
Rfam family: mir-1892 microRNA precursor family (bases 542-619)
Source: RNAcentral